This 2838-nucleotide long non-coding RNA is filed under the name Salmo salar (Atlantic salmon). RNAcentral's name for it is "lncRNA (ENSSSAG00000115807.1)". Lineage: Eukaryota; Metazoa; Chordata; Actinopteri; Salmoniformes; Salmonidae. The record is from RNAcentral.
CAUUACUGUUCCUACCACUGCUGUAUGUUUCAUCAUGGUGGUAAUAGUAUGCUAGGUAAUGGUGGCUGAAACAGAAUUUCACAUAACAAGGGAGGGGAAAUGCAUCUGUCUCAAAUCCAAAAUGGCACCCUAUUCUCUACAUAGUGCACUACUUCCCAAGGGGCCCUAGUCAAAAGUAGUGCACUCUAUAGACCUAGGUAAUAGGGUGCCAUUUGGGUAGCAGAUAUGUAGAUGUUCUUUCACAUUGUUCACACUCGUAAUGCAGUGACACAACAAAGGAAGCUGGGUGGAUACCAUAACACUAUAGCCAGUCUGAGAUUAAACUCUAACUGAAUUACGUCAAUGAGUUCCUAUGAAUUUAUUAUUUGACCUAUGGAUGAUCCGAUGCUUGUCUAGAGGUGUGUACAUACAGCCCAUCUCAGUAUGGAGCGCAGUUCACAAUGCAUGAAGACCUAUCAUCACAUAAUGGUGACCAGGGCUUCUCUCUACCACAUGUAAAUGCCCCGUGGAGCUCAUCAGUGGAGCCAUGCAGCUGCACAAUAUCGUCUGUAAGGGUGUGGAAUGCGAGUAGAGGAAGCCAGCCGUGCCCAACCAGGUGCAGUCAGUGGAGGACCUGUACCCGGCCGAAGACUACAACCCUCUGUCCCUAGAGUCCACAGAGGAGGAUGUUCCGUGGGUAAGGAACCGUCUCUGGGGCAGGUUCAGUGGAAUGGCAUGUCUCCUUGAACCUGAGCCAGAACAACUGCUACCCUUCCUGUCAUCCCUGUCUGUACUGGACAUUGUUAAAAACAAGGGGACCUGGGGCAUGCAGGCAUCGUGGCUGGCAUAGCGCUGUCGGUGGAGCAGCAGGAGGCUAUACGGCAGGCAAGUUGGACAGCGCACCAACCCCAACUGGCACACAUUGAGGAGAGGGAGGUUGACGGCCAGCAAUUUUGGAGCAGUGGUUAAGGCCAAGUGCGUUACUCUGUCGCUGCUAAAUAGGGUCCUCAGGUCACAGUCGUUGAAUGGGGUGUUGUCUGUAAAGUGGGGGACAGAUAACGAAGAGGAGGUCAUCAAGACAUUCAAAAUGGUUACAGGGAUGGAUGUGCAGGAGUCAGGGCUUUGGGUCACAGGGUCUGGGAUCCUGGGUGCCUCACCGGAUGGUCUGGUGGGCACCACAGCAUUGGUGGAGGUCAAGUGUCCCUUUGGUGCAAGGGAUCUUAUCAUUGAAAAGGCAUUGAAGGGUUUCUAUAUCCAGGGGGAGGCAGGAUCCUACCGCCUCCAUGAAGACCAUCGUUACUGGCACCAGGUCCAAGGGCAGCUCAACAUCACUGGAAGGGACACUUCAUUGAUGCUUCUUCAUUGUGUGGACCACCAAAGCCUCCAUCACCAUCCCCGUCCAGCGUGAUAACCUCUGGCAGACUCAUAUUGCUUGAGUUGAGGAGUUUUUCAAGGACCACAUGCUCCCAAAGUUGCCACUGCAACAGUGAACAUUUGUAAAUAUCUUAUAGUUUAUGCACAUAAAUCAGUUAUCAGUUUUAUUCCAAUCAGUUUAUUAGAGGGGCACUGGAUCAGCGUUCUUGUCAAGCCUCCUUUCAGUCCCAAUGGUCAGAAAUAUUGCACACAGUUAAUUCACACACACACACUAUUCUCCCAGAAUAGGUUAUAUUACAUACAAUUUAUGCUCAAAGCAGCCAACUAAAGUAAUGUAGUUAACUUUAUCAUGGGCACAGUGGGAAUUUAUAUCUGUGAUGUUCAAAUCAUUUCUUACUAAACGUCUUACCUGCUGAAGGCCCCAGUCAUCCCUGCCUGUACGUGGCAUUGUUGAAAACAAGUGAACAAUGAAUAAAGAUCAUACACAAACAAUAACCUCCUAGAAUAGAUUAUAUUACAUUCAAGUUUUGCUCAAAGCAGCCACUGUAAUUCAUCUCUGCACAGUGUGUUAGUUUGUCAGCUAACUAGCCAGCCAGUUUAACUAGAAUUAUUAACUGACAAUAUUUACAUUUAACUGACAAUAUUUCAUAUUAAGUGCCAACAUCAAAGCAAAGCAACAUCAAAGCAAAAGGCUACCUGCUAUUCCAGCAUCUGGCAUCAUCCCUCGUGCCUGGAACUUCAAUGUUUCCAUUGAACUCCAAAUAAGUAAGUAGAGUUGGUUAGGACACAGACUACGAAAAUCAUCUGUAAUGCUUAACCCUUGUGUGGUUUUCGGGUCUGUGGGACACAUUUUCAAUGUUUACUCAAAUAAAAAUGAUAUAAUGAAUUAUUUUUUUUCAACUUGAGAAUCAUUUUCUGUUAAGAACAUGUAAAAAAAAACAUUUUCAUUAAGUGCACACUGUGCAACCCCCUACACAUUUUUAUUACAUAUGUGGUGUUCGGGUCCACUGGACCCAAGGGUAAUAAAAUUGUGGAAAAGUGUGUGUGUAGGUGAAAACAAGUAAAAAUAAAACAAAAAAGGUUUGCUGUUUGCCUUCACUUUGUCUUCCUCCUCCCUAGUCCUGCUGUUUCAACAUAGCACCAAGAACCUGUCUGUCUCCCUGCCUCCCGCUUUUAUCGCACUCUUUACCCUUGGUAGUGUGUGAAACUACACAAUGUCUUGAGGGAACCUGCACAAUGUUACUUUGGAAGAUUAAGCAUUUUCCAAAUAUGAGGAUCAUAUCUCUGUCAAUUCGGAUGAGAUUGAACCUCAGCCAGCCCUGGGACCAGCCCGUCAACAGCCAGCCCCAGAACCAGCCCAUCAGCAACCAGCUCAUCAGCAGCCUGCAGGAGGGGAAAUAUGAAUGUAAAAAAAUUGUGAAAUUUAAUGGUCUUCUUGACCAAGGAUUGAGCCACCCAGAAUGGCUGCCAAUGUGAUAAGGAUGC